CCUACGGGUGGCAGCAGUGGGGAAUAUUGGACAAUGGGGGGAACCCUGAUCCAGCCAUGCCGCGUGUGUGAAGAAGGCCCUCGGGUUGUAAAGCACUUUCAGUGAGGAAGAACGCCUGGUGGUUAAUACCCAUCAGGAAAGACAUCACUCACAGAAGAAGCACCGUCUAACUCCGUGCCAGCAGCCGCGGUAAUACGGAGGGUGCGAGCGUUAAUCGGAAUUACUGGGCGUAAAGCGCGCGUAGGUGGCUUGAUAAGCCGGUUGUGAAAGCCCCGGGCUCAACCUGGGAACGGCAUCCGGAACUGUCAAGCUAGAGUGCAGGAGAGGAAGGUAGAAUUCCCGGUGUAGCGGUGAAAUGCGUAGAGAUCGGGAGGAAUACCAGUGGCGAAGGCGGCCUUCUGGACUGACACUGACACUGAGGUGCGAAAGCGUGGGUAGCAAACAGGAUUAGAUACCCCAGUAGUC
RNAcentral lists this ribosomal RNA (465 nucleotides) under Vreelandella stevensii. Its description in RNAcentral is "partial 16S ribosomal RNA". It matches the Rfam family "Bacterial small subunit ribosomal RNA", at positions 338 to 795 of the family's 1533-position model. The record is from RNAcentral. Lineage: Bacteria; Pseudomonadati; Pseudomonadota; Gammaproteobacteria; Oceanospirillales; Halomonadaceae.